CCUACGGGUCGCUGCAGUGGGGAAUAUUGGACAAUGGGGGCAACCCUGAUCCAGCCAUGCCGCGUGUGUGAAGAAGGCCCUCGGGUUGUAAAGCACUUUCAGUGAGGAAGAACGCCUGGUGGUUAAUACCCAUCAGGAAAGACAUCACUCACAGAAGAAGCUCCGGCUAACUCCGUGCCAGCAGCCGCGGUAAUACGGAGGGUGCGAGCGUUAAUCGGAAUUACUGGGCGUAAAGCGCGCGUAGGUGGCUUGAUAAGCAGGUUGUGAAAGCACCGGGCUCAACCUGGGAACGGCAUCCGGAGCUGAUAAGCCAGUGUGCAGGCGAGGAAGGUAGAAUUCCCGCUGUAGCGGUGAAAAGCGAAGGAAGCGGGCGCAAUAACCGUGGCGGAGGAGGCCCUCUAGACUGAUUCUGACACUGAGGUGCGAGAGCGUGGAUAGCAAACAGGCUUAGCAACCCUAGUAGGA
RNAcentral lists this ribosomal RNA (465 nucleotides) under Vreelandella stevensii. RNAcentral describes it as "partial 16S ribosomal RNA". It matches the Rfam family "Bacterial small subunit ribosomal RNA", at positions 338 to 795 of the family's 1533-position model. Lineage: Bacteria; Pseudomonadati; Pseudomonadota; Gammaproteobacteria; Oceanospirillales; Halomonadaceae. The record is from RNAcentral.